AAAAGCAGGGCAGGUAAAGAGGGAAAGCUGAACUAGAGGGUUGUUACCAGAAAACUUGCAUGCAGUGAAAUUUGGAUUAAAUUUCCAUCUGCCAAAAUAAUGUCAAUAAACUCUUCUACCUGGAGGAGUAGAGAACAGGCACUAGAAGAUCAUUUAGAAGACUAUAAAAACAAUUUGUGAUACAGUGAGGACUGUGACUAUGGCCACAGGUUACAAAAGGAGAUACGAUUUUCAAGAAACAUUUCUGAGGUAUACUCAAUAAAAUUAUAGAAAGUAGACUACCACUUAAAAUAAAAAGCUGCAAUGAGAGGGCAUUCUCAAAGAGUAGAGAGCGGUAAUUUAAAAAUGCAAUGUGCAAAUCCUAGAUUCUGGAAAAGUGAAAAAUAAUAUAUUUGUUUAAUUUCCACACUGUUAAUGCUAUUAUUUUUCCAUAUUCAAAUGUAACUGUGACUGUGAGCAUAUACAUUUACCUGUUUUAAU
This is a non-coding RNA of Ictidomys tridecemlineatus (thirteen-lined ground squirrel), 480 nucleotides long. NCBI's taxonomy places the organism in Eukaryota, Metazoa, Chordata, Mammalia, Rodentia, Sciuridae. The record is from RefSeq and is a predicted model, not a curated record.